Mytilus californianus (California mussel) is the source of this 747-nucleotide long non-coding RNA. RefSeq lists it as uncharacterized. The record is from RefSeq and is a predicted model, not a curated record. The transcript is spliced from 3 exons. NCBI's taxonomy places the organism in Eukaryota, Metazoa, Mollusca, Bivalvia, Mytilida, Mytilidae.
GCAAUUGUUGUUCAAAUGUAAGUUUAAUGGAUAAUGUAGACAUUUAUAGAAUCCAUCACCUACUUGUACAUAUCAUUUGUGGAUAGGGCUUAUUAUAUUUCAAAGAAAAGAUCAAUAUACAAAACAUUUACAACUGUGAUCAGCUUUUGCAACUAUGGCACUUGUAUUGAACUGGCUUGUCAUGUUGAUGACUGUUCAUGAUAUUUGUGCUUCAUUGUGCUAUACUGCUUACAAGGAAAAGGUUGGACGGGUUGUGUUUGGUGAAGCGAGUGGAGAAUCAGCCAACGUACAGUUAGAGGUUGCAUUUACUAUUGUGAACAGAAUUAACCAUGUCGGAUUCCCAAAUUCAUUAGAUGGAGUUGUAGACCAGACAUAUAAAUCGGGAGAGAAAAUGUAUCAUCAUUAUAACACAUUAGAUUAUUUUAGUCACGACCUAAGAUGGAAAGCCUCAAAAGCACCUGACGCAAAAGAGCAUGCUGCGUAUAUUUCUGCUAUAACUCAAGCCGAGCAUGCGCUUUGUGCGACAAAGUCUGAUCCUAUGAGUUGCGGUCCGGUCAAUUUCUGUGCCACAAAUCCGUGUGCCUCUACUAACAGUAAUAAGUAUUGGUGUGUGACCGAGAAAAAACAGAUCGGAUCUUAUUGGUUUACUUGCAUCAAGAAAAAAACAGGAAGAUGCUGAACUUUGAAAUCAAAAAUUGUCUUAUCUUGAGUUUUUAAUUUGAGAUAAAUAAAAAAUAAUCAAAAUUG